CCCUUGAAGACGACGAGGUAGAUAGGGCAGAGGUGGAAGUGCAGUAAUGCAUGGAGCUGACUGUUACUAAUCGGUCGAGGGCUUAUCCAG
This 90-nucleotide ribosomal RNA is filed under the name Clostridium sp. OF09-10. RNAcentral's name for it is "partial 23S ribosomal RNA". It matches the Rfam family "Bacterial large subunit ribosomal RNA", at positions 2835 to 2925 of the family's 2925-position model. Lineage: Bacteria; Bacillati; Bacillota; Clostridia; Eubacteriales; Clostridiaceae. The record is from RNAcentral.